RNAcentral lists this transfer RNA (93 nucleotides) under Streptococcus mutans. RNAcentral's name for it is "tRNA-SeC(tca)". The record is from RNAcentral. Lineage: Bacteria; Bacillati; Bacillota; Bacilli; Lactobacillales; Streptococcaceae.
UUUAGGAGCUGGAACAGGGUUCACAGCCGGUUUCAAGCCAGCUCAAUUUUUGUGGAGAGUUCCAGUUGCAGGAUCGUAUCUAGCUCUUGGGAC